UUUUUUUUUUUUUUUUUUUUUUUUUUUUUUUUC
RNAcentral lists this non-coding RNA (33 nucleotides) under Prorocentrum micans. Lineage: Eukaryota; Dinophyceae; Prorocentrales; Prorocentraceae. The record is from RNAcentral. RNAcentral also lists the same sequence under 1 other name.